Molecule: long non-coding RNA, 424 nt
Organism: Cyprinus carpio (common carp)
Lineage: Eukaryota; Metazoa; Chordata; Actinopteri; Cypriniformes; Cyprinidae
Exons: 2
Source: RefSeq, a predicted model, not a curated record
CUUCAAGUAUAGAAGAGACACUGUGAAAUCCUCUGCUCAGAGAGAAUAAACCUCAACAACGCUGUGAGCAUCUACCAAACUUCCAAAGUGUGUGAGGCGGUGGAGCUGGCAGUGUUCUGUGAAGGCUUCUUCCUGCAGAACAUGGUUGAUCUUCUGGACUGUGAGCAGUUUGAGGAGCUGCUGCUGGAUCCAGAUGCUCUGGAUGGUCUUCUGGCUACACUGGCCUCACGGCUGCACUCACUUUGUGGGCCGCGUCGAGCUUGAGCACAUGAAAACCAACAAAGCUCAGAUGUGCAGGCAGGCGUGUGAUGUCCCAUACAAACUCAGUGUUUAUAUGUUCGUUAACCUCCGUAAUUCCUAUUUUGAGUCAAUCACAAUGAUUUAAUAGGAUGUGUGAACUAUUUAUUACUUUUCAAGACGUAAA